GGCCGCGGGAAUUCGAUUCAGGCCUAACACAUGCAAGUCGAGCGAGCGGAUUUCCUUCGGGAAAGAAGCUAGCGGCGGACGGGUGAGUAACACGUGGGCAGCCUGCCUCAUAGAGGGGAAUAGCCUCCCGAAAGGGAGAUUAAUACCGCAUAAGAUUGUAGCUUCGCAUGAAGUAGCAAUUAAAGGAGCAAUCCGCUAUGAGAUGGGCCCGCGGCGCAUUAGCUAGUUGGUGAGGUAACGGCUCACCAAGGCGACGAUGCAUAGCCGACCUGAGAGGGUGAUCGGCCACAUUGGGACUGAGACACGGCCCAGACUCCUACGGGAGGCAGCAGUGGGGAAUAUUGCAAAGUGGGGGAAACCCUGAUGCAGCAACGCCGC
Molecule: ribosomal RNA, 378 nt
Filed under: uncultured bacterium
Lineage: Bacteria
Description: partial 16S ribosomal RNA
Rfam family: Bacterial small subunit ribosomal RNA
Source: RNAcentral